Molecule: RNA transcript, 2499 nt
Organism: Acipenser ruthenus (sterlet)
Lineage: Eukaryota; Metazoa; Chordata; Actinopteri; Acipenseriformes; Acipenseridae
Gene name: SLAM family member 5-like
Exons: 6
Source: RefSeq, a predicted model, not a curated record
UGAUGAAGCUCCGAGCGGAGUGACCAUACAUUUUUCUACUCUGUCGAAUGCGAAGAAGGGCACAUUUAAAACCAUGGAGUACAGCUGGAGAGGAAUCCGCUUUCUCUGUUUCAUGGCGGUUUAUGGACCUGGCCUGUCUGCAGCUCAGCUUGGAGGCCAGCAGGUGAAGGGGAUUGUGGGGGAAUCGUUCACUUUCCCUGUGGUAAUCCCAAACCUGCAGCCGGAUAUAGAGGUUCACUGGAGAUACGGUCCUGCAGGUCCAGAUAGCCCUAUAGCAAGACUUCAGGAAGGGAAGAUUAAGACUGAUUUUGAUGAGAGAUUUAAAUCACGACUGCAGUUAAACAUGAACACUGGCUCCCUGCAGAUUCAUCAUUUAAACACAGAAGACAGCGGGAUCUACCAAGUGGAGACAGUGAGGAACAUAUUUCACAAGAGAUUUUACCUGUCUGUUUACAACCCAGUUCCAGAGCCUCAGGUUAUGCAGAUCCAUUCAGCUAACAGGAGCUGCACUCUGCUGUGCUUUGUGGGAAACGCCAGUGAAGUGAACGUGUCCUGGAUGAGAGAUGGGAAGCCACUGAACACAACAGAACUGGAGAUCUCGCAGGAAAUGCAAGGGGGCAAUGUUACCUACACCUGUGUGGCCAGCAACCCUGCCAGCAACAACACCACCACUGUGACACCUUCACAUUACUGUGAUGAGAAAGAUGAUGCCCCGAGGAGUCACAUUUCGAUUCCUGGGAUAGUGCUCGCUGUGAUCGGAGUCCUGGCAGGCAUUUUGAUCAUCACAGUGUAUCUCAGGAGACGGAAGAAAGCUGUUGAGAAAGAAGGCAGGUUGCAAGGCUUCCAGAAACUCGGGUGAUAUCGAGUACUCGGAAAUUAUGAGCACAGCGCCUCCUACUGGCAAUGGACAGAACCACACAGAACGGUCUGAAGAUCAAACGAGAGACAAACAGAUGACCAUAUACUACGAACUCCAGCCACCGAGCUCCCAGAAUGCACCGUGCUGACGCAGGAAGGAGACGGUUACUGUUCUGCGGGAGUUUAAACCCCAUUCUCUUAAAAAAAAAAAAACAGCUGAGGUUUUCAGAUCUGUUUUCUUACCUCUUAUGAGCUCUGGCAACACAACUGUGAGUUAGGUCCAAGUUCACGGGACUCUAGUCGAAGUUCAUUCAUCAGUAUUAAAGUCCUGUAUGUGCGUGAACUCGUAUGUAAAAUGCUGGGCAGAAUAUUAGCAACGCUUGUCAUUUGCAGCACACAUUUCUUGAAAUAUGUGCAAUAUUUAGUUUUGAAUCCUUCAAUGUGCAGCUCUGGCCAAAUGUUUAGCAGCAUCACCCUCUAUAUAGAAUGAACUCCCUCAGCUUCAUAGAGUCCAAUGAAAGCUGCUGAAUAAUGUUCCCUUGUUAACAUAUUGAAUUCCACCCCCUCUAUAUAGAAUGAACUCCCUCAGCUUCAUAGAGUCCAAUGAAAGCUGCUGAAUAAUGUUCCCUUGUUAACAUAUUGAAUUCCACCCCCUCUAUAUAGAAUGAACUCCCUCAGCUUCACAGGAGUCCAAUGAAAGCUGCUGAAUAAUGUUCCCUUGUUAACAUAUUGAAUUCCACCCCCUCUAUAUAGAAUGAACUCCCUCAGCUUCAUAGAGUCCAAUGAAAGCUGCUGAAUAAUGUUCCCUUGUUAACAUAUUACAAAAUGUUCAUAUAGGUUGUUUUUUUUCAACGCUGCAAUCCUAAAAUUCUAAGGGAUGCAAAAUUUUUGGGCAGAGCUGUAUAAUUGCAUACAGUAUUAGCAAUUAAAAUAUGAUUUCAUGUGCUGAGGCAAUUUAUCAAUAUUUGCCUUUUGCACUACAGCUACAAAAAAGUACCUUCGAUAACGGAGAUAAACCAGGGAGUUAACACAGAAUGCAGUGAAGUUUCCAGUACUUUCUAUCUUUGUAAUUGUUGAUGCCAAAAGCCGUGGGCUGUUUUAUUGCAAAAUGCUUUACUGUCAGUGUUUUUGUUAUAAAAACAAAUCCGACACACACCAUCUGUCUUUUUUAGUUCCCGGUUUCAAUAAGACAUAAGCAAUGAUCUCGUGUGGUUUAUGAAUAAUAAAAUGUAUGGACAUUUAUAACAAUAAAACAGACCCUGCAAAUGAAAAAUUAAAACCAACCCUGAUACAAUUAUGAAAUCUCUUAGAAGCCUGGUAUCUGCUGUCUAAAUUGCUAUUUCAGGUUUUUCAUUUCAUCUUAUCCCUAUGAUUCUGUGUGACACACGCAUCCACAAUGUCUAGAAUUCACAUCCUAGCCUUGUAAUUAAUGUAUCUCACUGUAUUUAAUGUAUCUGCAUUGUUUUUUUUUACUGUUUGUAUUGAAUGUGCUAUGUCCUGUAUUUCAUUGUAUUUAAUGUAUUAAGCAUUGUUCCUCACUCUCUUGUAAAGCGCUUUGUGAUGGAGGUCCACUAUGAAAGGCGCUAUAUAAAAUAAAGAUUUUGAUUGAUUAAAAUAAUAUUAAAAAGUUUAAGUAUAAAA